ACGGGGGGAACGCGAAGAACCUUACCAACCCUUGACAUGGGUAUCGCGGGACCAGAGAUGGUCCUUUCAGUUCGGCUGGAUACCACACAGGUGCUGCAUGGCUGUCGUCAGCUCGUGUCGUGAGAUGUUCGGUUAAGUCCGGCAACGAGCGCAACCCACAUUUUUAGUUGCCAGCAUUCAGUUGGGCACUCUAGAAAAACUGCCGGUGAUAAGCCGGAGGAAGGUGUGGAUGACGUCAAGUCCUCAUGGCCCUUACGGGUUGGGCUACACACGUGCUACAAUGGUGGUGACAAUGGGUUAAUCCCAAAAAGCCAUCUCAGUUCGGAUUGGGGUCUGCAACUCGACCCCAUGAAGUCGGAAUCGCUAGUAAUCGC
Molecule: ribosomal RNA, 374 nt
Filed under: uncultured bacterium
Lineage: Bacteria
Description: bacterial SSU rRNA
Rfam family: Bacterial small subunit ribosomal RNA
Source: RNAcentral